This 315-nucleotide ribosomal RNA is filed under the name uncultured bacterium. RNAcentral describes it as "bacterial SSU rRNA". It matches the Rfam family "Bacterial small subunit ribosomal RNA", at positions 28 to 334 of the family's 1533-position model. The record is from RNAcentral.
GAUGAACGCUAGCGACAGGCUUAACACAUGCAAGUCGAGGGGCAGCGGGGUUGUAGCUUGCUAUAACUGCCGGCGACCGGCGCACGGGUGAGUAACACGUAUGCAACCUGCCCGUUGCAGGGGGAUAAGCGGAAGAAAUUCCGUCUAAUACCACGUAAUAUACUUUAGGGGCAUCUUUUUAGUAUUAAGGAUUUAUCGGCAACGGAUGGGCAUGCGGCGCAUUAGCUAGUUGGUGAGGUAACGGCUCACCAAGGCGACGAUGCGUAGGGGUUCUGAGAGGAAGGUCCCCCACACUGGUACUGAGACACGGACCAG